RNAcentral lists this ribosomal RNA (404 nucleotides) under uncultured Planctomycetia bacterium. RNAcentral's name for it is "bacterial SSU rRNA". It matches the Rfam family "Bacterial small subunit ribosomal RNA", at positions 42 to 382 of the family's 1533-position model. The record is from RNAcentral. Lineage: Bacteria; Pseudomonadati; Planctomycetota; Planctomycetia.
AGAUAAAACCCCUCUACUUAGUGCCCGGAUUAGGCACGCAAGUCGAACGAGGUAGGUGCCCCGUAAGGGGCGCAAGCCUAGUGGCGAAAGGGUGAGUAAUGCAUUGAUAACCUGCCUUUGAGAUGGGAAUAACAACGUUCCAAGCAAUUGGGGCUACCGAAAGGGUUGCUAAUACUCAAUAAAAUUAUUGUUGCUUCGGCAAUAAUAGUCAAAUAGGAGGAAUCGAAAGGUUUCGCUUGCUUGAAGAGGGGUCAAUGUCCUAUCAGCUAGUUGGUGGGGUAAUAGCCUACCAAGGCGAAGACGGGUAGCCGGCCUGAGAGGGUGGUCGGCCACACUGGGACUGAGAUACUGCCCAGACUCCUACGGGAGGCUGCAGUCGAGAAUCUUUCGCAAUGCCCGAAAGG